GUGUUCUUUGCUCAGGUGUCCAAGUGGUUAGAGCGUCCGCCUUGGAUGCGGGAGGUUGUGGGUUCGAUCCCCGGUCGAGUCAUA
Molecule: non-coding RNA, 84 nt
Organism: Potamilus streckersoni
Lineage: Eukaryota; Metazoa; Mollusca; Bivalvia; Unionida; Unionidae
Source: the annotation of a GenBank genome assembly